GAUGAACGCUAGCGGCAGGCCUAAUACAUGCAAGUCGAACGGUAAGGCCCUUUCGGGGGUACACGAGUGGCGGACGGGUGCGUAACGCGUAUGCAACAUGCCUUCCAGCGGGGGAUAUACCAGGGAAACUUGGCGCAAUACCCCAUAGAAUUACGGGACCGCAUGGUCUUGUGAUUAAAACUCCGGUGCUGGGAGAUUGGCAUGCGUGACAUUAGCUAGUUGGUGAGGUAAAGGCUCACCAAGGCGACGAUCUGUAGCGGGUCUGAGAGGAUGAUCCGCCACACUGGGACUGAGACACGGCCCAGACUCCUACGGGAGGCAGCAGUGGGGAAUUUUGGACAAUGGGCGCAAGCCUGAUCCAGCCAUGCCGCGUGAGUGAAGAA
Molecule: ribosomal RNA, 383 nt
Filed under: uncultured bacterium
Lineage: Bacteria
Description: bacterial SSU rRNA
Rfam family: Bacterial small subunit ribosomal RNA
Source: RNAcentral